Molecule: ribosomal RNA, 332 nt
Filed under: uncultured Acidobacteriota bacterium
Lineage: Bacteria; Pseudomonadati; Acidobacteriota
Description: bacterial SSU rRNA
Rfam family: Bacterial small subunit ribosomal RNA
Source: RNAcentral
UUUGUAGGUGGCUUGCUAAGUCAGACGUGAAAUCCCUCAGCUUAACUGGGGAACUGCGUCUGAUACUGGCGAGCUUGAGUGCAGGAGAGGAACGCGGAAUUCCAGGUGUAGCGGUGAAAUGCGUAGAUAUCUGGAGGAACACCGGUGGCGAAGGCGGCGUUCUGGACUGCAACUGACACUGAAAAACGAAAGCCAGGGGAGCAAACGGGAUUAGAUACCCCGGUAGUCCUGGCCCUAAACGAUGAAUGCUUGGUGUGGCGGGUAUCGAUCCCUGCCGUGCCGUAGUUAACGCGAUAAGCAUUCCGCCUGGGGAGUACGGUCGCAAGGCUGAA